RNAcentral lists this long non-coding RNA (1822 nucleotides) under Pan troglodytes (chimpanzee). Its description in RNAcentral is "long non-coding RNA NONPTRT010191". The record is from RNAcentral. Lineage: Eukaryota; Metazoa; Chordata; Mammalia; Primates; Hominidae.
GCGGGAGGGGCUGAGAGUCUGUGCGAAGGUCGGUGGACAGACUGCACUGCUUGUUGUUGCGCUUCGGAGGCGGCGAUCCCCGAAGGCGAGCUGAAAUACGGCUGGAGCGUUCCCAGGCUACAGUUUGUAGCCGACGAUUAUGGAAGACUAAGAGCCGGAGAGGUGGCCCACCCUCAGGGAGCGCUUGUGCUCGGAGGGCUUCUCAUUUCCCCAAUACCACAUUAAAUCGUCUCAUCUGAGGAGGAUCCACAGAGCUGUCUUCUAUGGUAAUCUGGAGAAACUGGAGUACCUUCUGCUCAUGUAUCAUGACACCAAGGAGAGAGACAAGGAGGAAAGCAUACGGUGAAAGACAGAGAUCACAUUUCAACUAGAUUCUUAGGAAGUAUGGAUUCACUAACUUCAGCAAAGAGAUGGCAGGAGGGCUAAAGUUGAGAAUCCAGGAAAUGGAAAAACACCAGAAGCCUGCAUGACUGGACAACGUGAGUAUUUUUGUUAACUAUGCUUCUGUAUGUAGAUAUCUGAACUAAUGAACUGAGAAUACACCCUUCAAGCAGAAGUGAAUGAUACAUUUUAAUGAAAUUGAUAGUUUUUAAGUUAGAGGACAAAAUGAAGAACAGGAGAGCUAUUGUAGUAUUAUAGUAUAAAUGGUUCUUGGGUGAUUUCUUCAGGGUACACCAUAGCGUUCUACCAUGGGCUUUGACAUAUAUCCUUCUGGGGUCCUAUUUGGUCCUUUUGUCUGACAUCACAUUUUUUGGCUUCAGUUAAGAGGAUCACAUUGGUAGAAGUACUUUUCUGUGUUAGUUGUAGUCAUGUGAAACCUAAUCUCUCUCUUGAAAUCUGGACUACAUGUUUUAUGAAACCUAUAUUGUGAUUUCCAUGUGUAUAUUCCUGUCAUGUCUGUAUGCUAACCAAAACAAGAGCAAAAGCAACCCAGAGCCUAAUAGCUAACGGUUUCAAGACCAAGCAUGAAGAUUUCAGCUGGAUACAAACACUACAUAGUGGAUGGUGGGCUGUGUCAUAUUUACGUGUACUUAAUUAUGUGUCCCUUUUGCUUUGUAGAAUCUUCUGAGCGACCUCCUUUAUCCACUGUAAACAAAUAUAUUUUCAUCUUGAAUUAACAAAAUGCUUUGUGAUAUAUACAUGAUAUAUUAAUCAUUAUGUUGUAAAACCCAUUCAGCUUACCCUGAAAGAAGCAGAUCCCAGUUCAAAAGUAGCCAUAAGAAGGAAGGAUUCACCACCUCCAGGAAAAGGUUGCCUGUUCACUCUGAUCGUAGUAUUGGAAGUUCUGGCCAGGGCAAUCAGACAAGAGGAAAAAAUAAAGGGUAUUCAAAUAGGAAGAAAGGAAGUCAAAUUGUCUCUGCAGAUGACAUGAUUGUAUAUUUAGGAAACCAAAUCGUCUCAGCCCCAAAUCUCCUUCAGCUGAUAAGCAACAUCAGCAAAGUCUCAAGAUACAAAAUCAGUGUGCAAAAAUCACAAGCAUUCCUAUACACCGAUAAAAGACAAACAGCCAAAUCAUGAGUGAAUGCCCAUUCACAAUUGCUACAAAGAGAAUAAAAUACCUAGGAAUACAACUCACAAAGGAUGGGAAAGACCUCUUCAAGGAGAAUGACAAACCACUGCUCAAGGAUAUAAGAGAGGACACAAACAAAUGGAAAAACAUUCCAUGCUCAUGGAUAGGAAGAAUCAAUAUCACGAAAAUGGCCAUACUGCCCAAAGUAAUUUAUAGGUUCAGUGCUAUAGACUACCAUUGACUUUCUUCACAGAAUUAGAAAAAACUACUGGAAAUUUCAUAUGCAACCAAAAAAGAGCCCAUAUAGCCAAG